Cinara cedri is the source of this 848-nucleotide non-coding RNA. Lineage: Eukaryota; Metazoa; Arthropoda; Insecta; Hemiptera; Aphididae. The record is from the annotation of a GenBank genome assembly.
UGACGUAGAGGAAUGUCAGGGCAUAGAGAGUACGGAAACGAUAUAAUAUUCUAUUCCGAGACACGUUUCCGAGGAGGGUUUUCUUUUCGUGUGCAAAAUAUAUAAUCAUUAAACACCGUUUAUGAAAUAUGUACGACAUCCGCGGUGCCGGAGAUUCCGGAGACCGACAUCGCGCGUACAUUUUAAAACAUGUAGAUUUUCCGCACAGCGGCGGUGUACUUCGUACACCGGAGUAUUUUUCCAGACGCCAGACAGUUUUCAAAGGAAAAAUUAUUAACGGGAAUCGGAACGGGAGUCUCUAACGAAAACUCGGUGUUUAGCCGGUAUUUAAAUGACUGUACGUUGUAGAGCUCGCGAUUGAAUUUUACAUAUUUUCUUGCAGUUUUUUGUUUUUCCCGGAUUAGACGACGACGCGGUCUUAUUUUAAAUAUUUAUCGCGAGAAGGAAUACUUUGCGAAAUGUAUAGGGUUUUCAGAACCUCGCGUUUCAAUCGAAUUUUUGUACAAAUGACUCAUGUUAAAACUUUUCCCUUACCCACGUCUAAAAGUGGAACAUUUCAUCAACUAUAUAGACGACGGAUAUUGAAAUGAUGUGAAUAAUUCGGAACAUUUUCGCCAACCGAAAAAGUGUGCUCAGUGAAAAAAGACAUAUGUUAGUAAAACUAAUAUAUAUAGCUUAUUUGCUUUUCUCGAAAUCUAAUUGUGCAAAACGAUUAAUCACGAGGGUAUUUUUUGUCGCCCUUAUUUUAUAUAUUAACGUCGGUUAUGCAUUUUUUAUACAACAACUAUAUUUUCGCGAAGUGUUUAGAACUCGAUAUUUGACGCCUUGAACGAACGGCGAAUUCACGU